UCCGUUCCCGUGAUGCCUACACCAACUAGAGAGGAAGCUAAUGAUGAUCAUGAAACUUCAGAUCAAGUUGCUACUGAACCCCGUAGGUCGACCAAAACACGUACCGCACCAGAGUGGUACGGUAACCCUAUCCUGGAAGUCAUGUUGUUCGACAACAGCGAACCUACGAACUAUGAAGAAGCUAUGAUGAGCCAAAAUUCUGACAGAUGGCUUGAGGCUAUGAAAUCUAAGAUAGGAUCCAUGUAUGAGAACAAAGUGUGGACUUUGGUGGACUUGCCCGAUGAAGGAAAAAUAUGAUUGUAGCAGAAAAAACUCACAACUCGUAGCAAAAUUGAUGAUGGUUGCAGCAGAAAAAUGAGGUCGCCAAUUUCUCACUUCUCACGAACGAUGAAGGAAAAGAUGGUGGUAGCAAAAAACUCGCCGAUUGUAGCAAAAAUAGAUGAAGAUUGCAGCAAAACAGAUCCGUCAAUUUCUUAUGUACGAUGAAGAACAAGAUGGUGGUAUCAAAAAAACUCGUUGGUCGUAGAAAAACUUGAUGCCCGUUCUAGCACCCGUGAUGACCUGUUCCGGCAUCGGCGGGUGCUAGUUGUCGCCGAUGCCAGGAUCCGCGGCAGCCAGUUCCAGCACCCGCGGUGGCCGGUUCCAGCACCGGUGCGUGCUGGUUGCAGCAUCCCGCGGUGCCGGUUCCAGCACCGGAACCACUUCAUAGCCACGCCGCGGUUGGAGCAUCUUGGUCGCUGAACGCCGUAGCUCCCGGCCACCAAGACCACAACGUCUAGCAGCCGCCACUGGAGCAUGCAGGACUGCGGGCCUUCCUCCGUCUUGUGUGCCCAGCCGACCUUGUAGCAGCUCGUGGCAGAUCCCAUGGUGGAGGCGUUGGGAGGCAACAGAAAGUGCGCUCGAGCGCCGGGACGUCGGAGAACAGGGGCGGCUGGAGGUGCGCAUGAGCUUGAGGUGGGUAUGGCUAAGCGUGUGCGGGGAUGUAGAGAGGGAUGAGGCUGGG
Molecule: ribosomal RNA, 1003 nt
Filed under: Triticum aestivum (bread wheat)
Lineage: Eukaryota; Viridiplantae; Streptophyta; Magnoliopsida; Poales; Poaceae
Description: partial small subunit ribosomal RNA
Source: RNAcentral